RNAcentral lists this ribosomal RNA (429 nucleotides) under Chloroflexota bacterium. RNAcentral describes it as "Chloroflexi bacterium partial 16S ribosomal RNA". It matches the Rfam family "Bacterial small subunit ribosomal RNA", at positions 355 to 776 of the family's 1533-position model. The record is from RNAcentral. Lineage: Bacteria; Bacillati; Chloroflexota.
UGGGGAAUAUUGCACAAUGGGCGCAAGCCUGAUGCAGCCAUGCCGCGUGUAUGAAGAAGGCCUUCGGGUUGUAAAGUACUUUCAGCGGGGAGGAAGGGAGUAAAGUUAAUACCUUUGCUCAUUGACGUUACCAGCAGAAGAAGCACCGGCUAACUCCGUGCCAGCAGCCGCGGUAAUACGGAGGGUGCAAGCGUUAAUCGGAAUUACUGGGCGUAAAGCGCACGCAGGCGGUUUGUUAAGUCAGAUGUGAAAUCCCCGGGCUCAACCUGGGAACUGCAUCUGGUACUGGCAAGCUUGAGUCUCGUAGAGGGGGGUAGAAUUCCAGGUGUAGCGGUGAAAUGCGUAGAGAUCUGGAGGAAUACCGGUGGCGAAGGCGGCCCCCUGGACGAAGACUGACGCUCAGGUGCGAAAGCGUGGGGAGCAAACAGG